RNAcentral lists this ribosomal RNA (528 nucleotides) under Globigerinella siphonifera. RNAcentral's name for it is "SSU rRNA". It matches the Rfam family "Eukaryotic small subunit ribosomal RNA", at positions 1191 to 1460 of the family's 1831-position model. The record is from RNAcentral. Lineage: Eukaryota; Foraminifera; Rotaliida; Globigerinidae.
UAAUUUGACUCAACGCGGGGAAUCUUACCGGGUCCGGACACACUGAGGAUUGACAGACAGUUGUCUUUCCCUCCCUUCGGGGUGGGAUUACAAAAGAUAACAGAUCUUUCAUGAUCAUGUGAUGGGUGGUGCAUGGCCGUUCUUAGUUCGUGGAGUGAUCUGUCUGCUUAAUUGCGUUUCAAAUUUUAUAUUUGUUAACAUGCGAGUCUUCAAUGACGGCCACUCCACCUUAUAGACAUUAUAUGAUAUGCACAUUUGUGUAUUUGAUUAUAACUUGUCUGGAGUCUGGCUCGAUUUUUUUGACUCAAUUGAACGCAACGGACGUGAUUGCAAGUCCUUGUUGAACAAAUUAUAUAUAUACUACUUCAUCAUUAGUAUAUAUAGUUCGCUUCUCAUGUCGUAGCAGUCAAACGGGCGGGCGUCUUAAUUGGCGCGGUCACGAGGCUUAAUAUGCUGCGGCUGGGAAAACUUGGGCGACCGCUGUAAUACUUCUCUCUUAAACCAGAGGAAGAUUGCGGCAAUAACAGG